Molecule: small RNA, 4954 nt
Filed under: Rattus norvegicus (Norway rat)
Lineage: Eukaryota; Metazoa; Chordata; Mammalia; Rodentia; Muridae
Description: uncharacterized LOC102547003
Source: RNAcentral
GAAACUGGUCCCCCAUUGACAGCACUCUGACUUCUCCGUCAGGCUCUAUCAACAUGUCUACGGUGAGGUUGGUGAUGCUGUCUGCAGGCACCUUGUGAUGGUCACCGGGAACCCACGCUUCAGACCUACCACAGCCUGACCUGCAGUGUCCUCUGCACUCUGUGAACUUCAGUCUUUCUUUGAUGCUGCCAUCUCUUUCGUCCGUGCCCACUGUGCUGACAGACAGCUGACUCCAACAGCUUUGACAAGAAAGCCCAAACUCUCGACUGAAACUGUAAAGGUGGGAUUUGAAGUGGCGGGACAAGUUCUAGAGUCAGCCUUGUGCAACCUGAAAUGCUGCAAACCACAGUGUCUCAUGGAGGCUUAGAUUUUUCAAAGACCCACUUUAAUAAGGUUCUUAAAUGCUUCAACCUCCCUGAUAGCUCAGGGAUCAAAGGUAGAGGAGGAAGAUGGCUAAUAGGAAAAGAGGGACGUGGAUCUCUUUAGAAGUAGUUCUUUGAGGUGAUUCCAAUCUUCAUUGUCAGAAGUCCAGUCCAUUUGAAUCAGUAGCAGCAGCCUGAUCCAGAGGAAACUGAGAGGCUUUGCCGGUCAGCAUGGAUUCCUUGGUGCAUUUCUCUCCACUAAGUUAUGACAAGUGAAUAUCAAGGAAGGAAGCAAGGUGAACCAAUGAAUAAUGUUAUCAGGGAAGACCAGAGUCAGUGAAGGCCAAUGAAGACCACAAGUUAUUGUGAAAAACUGGCAGUUAAAUUCAAUUGAUUCAAAUUUUUCUGGAUCCAUAUGGCCGCCAACCCUGGAGCUGAAGCGGCGGCGGCGCCUCUCCGCUGUUUUCAAGCAUUUGCCUCUCCUCCAGUCCCCAGAUGGUGGGAGUAACAUUUAAACCUCCUUUUCUCUGCCUUGUACAAUAGACCUUGGCACCAUUUCAACUGUUUACUCCGGUAAUUAACAGCUCUGAUACCACAACAAUUACAACUCCUCCACUCUCCACAAUAAUGCUAUGAAUUAGUGAGAGCUAAUGGCUGGAAGGUAGAGUGUUUCCAGACUGUGAGAUCUGUGCAUUUUUAGAAUAAAAUAAAAGGUACAAACAGCACGCUUGCAGUAGACAAUGAUUACCUAGUAAUUAGUUUACACAAAGCUUCCUAUUUAAUGGCAAAACGCUGUAAUUAACGUGUGACAGAAAAUCAAAGGGUACUUUGUAAGCAUAUGAAAAAUUAACACUGCAGGCCCAUAGCUUUAUGUACUGAUUAGAAGCAUAUUAAAUCAAUAGGACACACAAGCCAACAGCUUGUAUAGCUGAUUAUUAUAGGUCCUCGGAAGGGGUGCCCAGGCUUUCAUUUAACUGGGGAGGCAAUUUUCCUUCUCCUGUCAUCAUCCUCAGGCACAGAGAAGCACCUCAAACUCAACCCUGGCAGCACCAUGAAAAUAACCACUGAACUGGAAGAAAACAUUCUAAGUCAUUCUCAGAGCUAAGAAAAAUUAUGUACAUGAUUAAGACUUUCCAGUGAUCUUGGUGACAUGCUGCUAUACUAAUUAGAAAAUAUGUCAACUGGAACCAGAAGCAUCCAGACUCAAUGUUUUGGUCAGAAUAAUCUCUACUUUAUCAAGCCUUUUUAUUCAACAUGGAGAAAGCUCUAAUAAACACAUUGUUUUCUAUUCUCAAAUGGUAAGAGGCCAUGAUGCUAUCUAGGGUUAUUAUUUUAAAGAUAUUAAUUAGCAAAAUCAUAGCACAGGGACAAUUGGAUCGUUAUUCUGAGUUUUUGACAGCAUCUUGUAUAAUGAUAAUUGAUGCAUACUGCAGUAGUCUUGAAGGCUACAAGACCUUCUGAGCUGCCAAACAGCAGGUAAUGUGUAUUUGUUUGCUCACUGUUGCUUAUAUCUCCUCAUAAUGUAACUUUAAUUAAUAUUCAUAAUAAAAAAGCAAUAUCUUAAACUGUCACAUGCUAAGAACAUUGCUGGCCAAUUCACAGGAUACUUUUAAGAACUGGCAACUUAGAGAGCCAUGGUGAUUUGGUUAUCACCAUGAAGUUUCCCAGGAAGCUCUAAGAGACACAGAGCAGUGGGACCUUGUGAAGCCUCAGACUGACCCAUUUUAAUUCUUGUUCUGCUUAAAAAGGCUUACCACAUAAACCUGAAUUAUGUCUAGAAAUAAGUAAGACAAAAACAAAUACAAUUUUUGGUGGCUUGUGUAAGAGAAAAAUAAGUUGAAUUGCUUAUCUUGUUUUUGGUGCUACAUCUGAUGUGAAGGUAGGCUACUCGGUAUGUGAUAAUUUAUAGGUGGACUCAAAUGACUGUGACAGAAAGGCACCAAAACGUAUCUCCCCGUGACUAGGCAAAAGGUAAUAUAUAGAAUUCUCUGUUGCCAACUAUGCACGUUCACAGGAAUGCAUGUGGUGAGGCAUCUGGGUUUUCUAGGGAUUCCUGAGCAGGUUACUGCCUUCUACAGCUGAGGUGUGCACACUGACAGCUCUCCUCGCCUCCCAAUUCACUGCCUGGUAGGAAAGGGAAGCACUCGACAGUAGUCAGUGUGGUCCAGGGACAUCUGUGCUUUGAGAAAGUCUGUGGAAAGUAGAAAAUCUGCCAGAGCAGCAGCACAUGGCAUGGACCACAAAGCCAGGGCCUAAGAGGGGAGCUUCUCUGGGAGCUUAAGGAAGUUGGAAGCCACUAGCAUCUUCUUAUCAAUAUAGCACGUACAGCAACAGCCGGAGCACUAUUGCUCCUACUACUAUUGCAUUCUACUAGUGGGGCUUUUAGCCUAGAGAAAAAGGCAGAUUUUUUCUUGUCUUUGUUUUAAAGGCAUAUACUACGUGGACAUUUCUCUGAUCCACAAUUUACAAAUACAAGAACAAAACAAAACUGGGGAAGAGCUUAAGUUUUCAGACAGGUGCGCGUUUUAGCAUGUUAGAAUUAAUUAAUAAAGGGGUAACAUGCAGUCAUUAAUUGUGAUGAAGAUGAAUAAAUGGGCAAAUGGCUAAGAUCUUAUCUUUACUUAGCAUAUUCACAAUGAGAGACAACACACAUUUGAGAAUUAAUUCAGAGAAUGAAGGCAAUAGUAAAAGUGACUUAUACUUACUGGGAUAGACAUCUCUUUAAUAUAUUAUUAUUGUAUUAUCUUUUAACUUUUCUAAACAUUCUGUGGUGAUGAGCCAAGACCUCUUUGAGCUCACCUAAUAAAGCUGUACCACAUCCUCCAGGAGGCACCUAGGUCAGUCACCCAAGAGUGGUCCCAUCACUGUUUACAAGACUUCCAUUCCCAGGGGAAUUGUUCUGAGCACACUGUGGUGGCUGCUCCUCCUUUGUAACAGUGUGUUUGUUUACUGGCCUAGUUCUUUAGUGAUAAGUAUGGUUUAUUCUGCCUUUCUAGGUUUGGGAGCCCUGGAUUCAGAUCUUCCCAUUUGGGUGAUGCUUAAAUGAAUACCAAAUGUCUAACAUUCUAACACAGUAAGACAAAUUAGUGUGAGAGACAACAGAUUUACCCUAUUACAAAGUAGAAAGCAGCCACGAGAAAGAUUGAGCACAGAGAGCAGACUGUGGCACCAGCAUUUGUCAGGAAGGCUUCUCUCCUACAGGUGUGUGUGUGAAGUCUUCGUCCCUACUAACUGAAACAAAUGCUUCGACUCAGAAACAAGGAAUCUAGCAUUUGUGCAAGUGGAUUCACAAACCUUAGCAAGCAGUGUGCACUCAGUUGGGACCCAGUGAAGUGAGUGGAGCUGACUUCACUAGACAAUAGGAUGACAAGCAGAGGCUUGUUACCAGCCUCCAGGGAAAAGUGAAAAUGUGUGCUUUGUUUCAGUGUAGUCUUUCUGCUUUUUGAAAUGUGCCUAUGUAUCCAUACUGAGCUUUCAAAGGUGACUAGGCUUUUUAGCAUCUGAUAACGCAUGUGACUUUGUUUCAGGUCUUAAUUGCAACCAGCCAAAGCUCAGUCAAAAAUUAGAAGAGGAGGAAGGAGGGGUGAUCUUUGUGUUCCAAGUCUGAGCCUACCUCUAAGACUAGUGUCUGCAUAAGACUCCACAGUGGCGCCCGCCCCAUACACAGCCCUGCUUUCAUCUGUUGUCUACGGUGCACCAAUAAGAGAAUUCACAGCAUCCUGUCACAAACUGCUAUGCAAAUGAUGCCAUUUAAGAGUAAUUCACUUUGGUGUUCUUUAAAUAAUAUGUAAAGAGCUAGCCAUGACAGGCACUGCGUUUAGUCCAUUCACUGUUGGAGGGAAAGGAAAGCCCAGAAUAGAUCAUGAGGAGGACCGACCCAUUUAUCAAAGGGAACUCUCCUUCCUGACUGGUCUCAAGAGGUAUUUAUCAUCUCGCUUGCCCAGGAGUAAUGUGGCUCCCGCCAGUGUGCCCUUCCUUUCUAUCACUUGUGUCUUGAUUCAUAGACUUCUGUAGUGGGAUGCACAAAGCAGAUGCAAAUCACUGCACAGUCCACCACGAUGCAUGCUGGGAGGGAAGGAACCACUUAAGGAGUUUGUCUUUCAAUCUUUUUUUUUUCUAGUAGGUCACCCAAAACAGGGUCGUGCAAUAGAGAAGCUAGGUAUAAGGCUACAGUGUGGGACAGUGUUUAGAGGUUAAACACUAAACCACAUACAACAAUGAAGUAAAAGUGGAACAUUCUGAGGUGGCAUAAUUCAUCUCCCCCACAUACGGGGAAAGGCUUACACACCUCCUGCAGAGCUGGAGACACUAAGCCUACUAGUCAGCUGUGCUGGCAACUUUCUUCUGUGGUCUAUUCUUCUCUCAGCAUCUCACAGGGGCUGGUAGUUACAUAUUUCUUUGGAAUAUCUUCAAAAACAUGGCUCCUAACGGAAUGCUAUCAUAUAUUAGCUUCCAGUGAGCACUAUUUGCUAGUAGAACUCUCAUAAUAAAACACAGCUAGCUUAGUCCCAGCAGCUGAUACAAGCAGGGGGUGUGCUCAGUGCUCAUAUUCCAGUGCUAUUAUAAUCAUUUUGAAGGUGUGGGGGAAAAGA